Rhincodon typus (whale shark) is the source of this 533-nucleotide long non-coding RNA. RefSeq lists it as uncharacterized. The record is from RefSeq and is a predicted model, not a curated record. The transcript is spliced from 2 exons. NCBI's taxonomy places the organism in Eukaryota, Metazoa, Chordata, Chondrichthyes, Orectolobiformes, Rhincodontidae.
ACACGUCAUCACGGGUGUCUCGACGCCGCCUGAAUGUUUCUGUCUUAGAAAACCUUCCUCGUCGAAACGGGGGUGCACUUUAGUCUCUUAAAAAUUGAGUGUGACUUGAAUAGUUGAAUUUACUGUGUCUACCUACUGGAGCAUUGAGCCGAGUCCUGUAACUUUGAAGGAAAAUCGACUGCAAGCCAAAUAGAUUCUAUGCUUGAACCAUCUCCUUUUCCAAACCUGUGAUGUGGAAGGCUAAGGGCAGCAGAUACAUGGGAACACCAUCACCUGCAAGUUCCCCUUCAAGCCACAUAAAAUCCUGACUUGGAACUAAAUCGCUGUACCUUCAUUAUUGAUGGGACAAAAUCCUGGAACUGCCUUCCAGUCAGCAGUGUGGACAUAUCUACAGUAAACUGACUGCAGAACUGUCAGAAGGCAGCUGACCACCACGUACACAAGGGUGAUUCAGGAUGGGCAAUUAUUUGUUGACACCCAUGAGCAUGUGUAGUAGCAAUGAAAUCUUUAAAAUAAAUUGAAAUAAAGAUUAA